This is a small nuclear RNA of Cricetulus griseus (Chinese hamster), 105 nucleotides long. The record is from Ensembl. NCBI's taxonomy places the organism in Eukaryota, Metazoa, Chordata, Mammalia, Rodentia, Cricetidae.
GUGCUGCCUUCAGCAGCACGUAUACUAAAAUUGGAAGGAUACAGAGAUUAGCACGGCCCUUUCCGAAAGGAUGACAGGCAAAUUUGUGAAGCGUUCUAUAUUUUU